This 769-nucleotide ribosomal RNA is filed under the name uncultured fungus. RNAcentral's name for it is "eukaryotic LSU rRNA". It matches the Rfam family "Eukaryotic large subunit ribosomal RNA", at positions 30 to 821 of the family's 3401-position model. The record is from RNAcentral. Lineage: Eukaryota; Fungi.
GAACUUAAGCAUAUCAAUAAGGCGAGGAACAGAAACCAACCGGGAUUCCCCCAGUAGUGGCGAAUGAAGCGGGAAAAGCUCAAGUUUGAAAUCUGGCUUCUGUCAGAGUUGUAAGCUGAAGAGGUUUCGACCGAUGUGGCUCGGGCUCAAUUCCCUUGGGAUAGGGAGUCGUGGAGGGUGAGAACCCCGUUCGUGGCCUGGUAGCCUUCAUCCUUGUGUCGUUUCCUCAAAGAGUCGGGUUGUUUGGGAAUGCAGCUCAAAAUGGGUGGUAAAUUUCAUCUAAAGCUAAAUAUUGGCGAGAGACCGAUAGCAAACAAGUAGAGUAAUCGAAAGAUGAAAAGUACUUUGAAAAGAGAGUGAAACAGUGCGUGAAAUUGUUGAAAGGGAACCGUUUGGUAUCAGCCCAUGGCUGCCUUUGAUCAUCCAGGCUUCUGUCUGGUGCACUCGGAGGCGGCCGGGCCAGCGUCGACUUUGCCCGCUGGAGAAAGGUUCGAGGAAUGUGACUCUUCACGGAGUGUUAUAGCCUUGGGCGUCAUGCAGUGUGGCGGGGUCGAGGUCUGCGGUCUUCCUAGGACGCUGGCGUAAUGGUCCCAAGCGACCCGUCUUGAAACACGGACCAAGGAGUCUAACAUCUAUGCGAGUGUUUGGGUGUAAAGCCCGUCCGCGCAAUGAAAGUGAAUGUAGGCGGGAACUCUUCGGAGUGCACCGUCGACCGGUCCAGGGGUUUACCGAAGGAUCCGAGUAAGAGCAUAGCUGUUGGGACCCGAAA